RNAcentral lists this non-coding RNA (543 nucleotides) under Pan troglodytes (chimpanzee). The record is from RNAcentral. Lineage: Eukaryota; Metazoa; Chordata; Mammalia; Primates; Hominidae.
CCCCACCCAGUGGGGACAGAAGACAACUUAAUUCCACAAAGUUGGACCCCCAAGGGAAGUGGGGAGGUGAGAGGGAAAGAAGGAUGUGGUCUCCAUCUAAAGUCAAGAUCUCUUCCCCAAAAGCUAGAGGUAAACUUGCCCAGCUCGGACUAGGCCUAGAGAGGCUGAAUGAUGUGGCAUCACCCGGAAACAGCGUUUGCCCUCCUUAUCCUCUUCCCUUCUGCCUGAAAACACUAAUCCAGAUGAUGGACAAUGAUUCAAUUAGUCAUCUUCUCUGAUGGGGGCUGAGAUCCAGGCUGGGAUCCCGUGGAAGUGCCGGGCAACCCUCUCUGCAAGUGGCUCUGUGCUCCCUCAUCACCAAGGACCCAUGUCCACCUUGGGUUUCACUUUGGCAUUGCUUCUCCUCAGCUACUUCUCAGUUACUUGUCCUCAUUUGGAGAGAUGGAUAUCCGGCUGGGAGCAUCCCCUACCCGCUGGGAGAGUGGGUCUACAGCUCAGUAAGACAUGUGGACCAGGGCCUCAGAAUGUGGGUAAAUGUGAGUC